This 72-nucleotide transfer RNA is filed under the name Ornithorhynchus anatinus (platypus). It matches the Rfam family "tRNA". From Rfam's summary of the family: Transfer RNA (tRNA) molecules are approximately 80 nucleotides in length. Their secondary structure includes four short double-helical elements and three loops (D, anti-codon, and T loops). Lineage: Eukaryota; Metazoa; Chordata; Mammalia; Monotremata; Ornithorhynchidae. The record is from Rfam by way of RNAcentral.
AGCAGCGUGGCUUAGUGGAAAAAGCAUGGGCUUGGAAGUCAGAUGUUGUGGGUUCUAAUCUCGCCUCUGCCA